UGGAGAGUUUGAUCCUGGCUCAGAUUGAACGCUGGCGGCAGGCCUAACACAUGCAAGUCGAGCGCGAACGGUCCUUCGGGACUUAUUAGAGCGGCGGACGGGUGAGUAAUGCAUAGGAAUCUGCCCAGUAGUGGGGGAUAGCCCGGGGAAACCCGGAUUAAUACCGCAUACGUCCUACGGGAGAAAGCAGGGGAUCUUCGGACCUUGCGCUAUUGGAUGAGCCUAUGUCGGAUUAGCUUGUUGGUAAGGUAACGGCUUACCAAGGCGACGAUCCGUAGCUGGUCUGAGAGGAUGAUCAGCCACACUGGGACUGAGACACGGCCCAGACUCCUACGGGAGGCAGCAGUGGGGAAUAUUGGACAAUGGGGGCAACCCUGAUCCAGCCAUGCCGCGUGUGUGAAGAAGGCCUUCGGGUUGUAAAGCACUUUCAGUAGGGAGGAAGGCCUGUAAGUUAAUACCUUGCAGGAUUGACGUUACCUACAGAAGAAGCACCGGCUAACUCCGUGCCAGCAGCCGCGGUA
This 521-nucleotide ribosomal RNA is filed under the name Microbulbifer sp. NRL-CB10. Its description in RNAcentral is "bacterial SSU rRNA". It matches the Rfam family "Bacterial small subunit ribosomal RNA", at positions 1 to 522 of the family's 1533-position model. The record is from RNAcentral. Lineage: Bacteria; Pseudomonadati; Pseudomonadota; Gammaproteobacteria; Cellvibrionales; Microbulbiferaceae.